This is a long non-coding RNA of Carassius gibelio (silver crucian carp), 2289 nucleotides long. RefSeq lists it as uncharacterized. NCBI's taxonomy places the organism in Eukaryota, Metazoa, Chordata, Actinopteri, Cypriniformes, Cyprinidae. The transcript has 4 exons. The record is from RefSeq and is a predicted model, not a curated record.
UUUAGUACAUAUUAUACACAAUUAUAGCAUUUAUAAAUACUUUGAAUUAGCGUUUAUAUUUGUAUUUUCAGUUUAAAGGUUUAUAGUAAUUUUGUUAUGUUCUUCUGUUCUUUAUAUAUAGUUAUGUUUAAUACUUCAGCUUAUCAGUAUUUGUUUUAUUGUAUUUCAGCUUUAUUUUAAAGGUACAAUUUGUAAGAUAUUUGCAGUAAAAUAUCCAAAAACCAGUAGGCUAGUGAUACAUAUUUUGUCCAGCUGAUUACUAACAACAUCUCUAAUGUUUUCAACUACUUGUUAAUCCUGAGAAAAUUCCCAUUCUAAACAGUGACACAGGGCAGUGCAGUCACCUGUCAAUGGCGUUAGUUACCCUUUGUUACCGCCUUUACUGACGUGAAAACCACAUGACAACAGUGUUGUGGACAAAUGCAGAAGUAGUAGUGUCUAGCAUUAAGCAAACCACUAGCUUGCUUCAAGCAGUUCCUUAUUAUUUACUUCUUCUUGCACGUUUUAUGGUGGAUUGUGUUACUUAUUUAUGGAACAUAAUUACUGUUUACCAUUUGCCUCUGGUUCUGUCGACAAGGACACCUCCCGUAAAUGAAAGUGUACGGGCCAACUAAAACAACGCAAGAAGAGUUUGGGACAAGAGGAGAGAAAGAGCGAGGAUCAAUAUCGGUGUUGCAUUUUCUAAAUGGAGAGAGCUUUGCGACAAACUUCAACUAAAGAGAUGUCGAUCUUGCUUGUGUUUUACUCGACAGGCCAACACAGGCUGCCUCUUCUAACCCCUGGAUAUCCAAUGUUCUUGAACAACAAAAAGGACACUAACCACUCAGGUUUCAGGAGUGGCCAACUGAGAAGGAAGUCAUGCAGGUUGCAAAAGCAGAUUACAAAUCAUUACUUCUUAUUCUGCUGGAUCUAUCUGCUGCUUUUGACAGUGUCAGUCAUCAGAUCCUCCUGUCCGCCCUCUCAUUUCUGGGCAUCACAGGGAUUCCACCUUGCUGGUUUAAAUCCGAUAUCACUGUUGAUCCAACUGUAGCUGCACGGAUCUCAGGCUGUCUGGCAGACAUCUCAGCAUGGAUGAAGAAACAUCACCUAAAGAUCAACCUGGCAAAGACUGAGCCUCUUGUCUUGUCUCUUGCCACUCCAUCCAGCUAGGUUCUUCUACAAUUAAUACAUCAACUUCAGUCAGAAUCUUGGUGUAAUCUUUGAUGACCAGCGGACCUUCAAAGACCACAUUGCAAAGGCUGCUCAAUCCUGGCAGGUUUGCACUGCACAACAUCAGAAAGAUCAGACCCUUUCUAACGGAGCUUGCUGCACAACUUCUUGUCUAGGCAUUGGUAUUUUGGUACCAUUGGUAUUGGUAUCUUGGUAUUUCUAGGCUGGACUACUGGAAUGCUCUUCUGGCUGGACUUCUAUCAAGCACAAUCAAACCUCUACAAAUGAUUCAUAAUGCAGCGGCAUGACUGGUCUUCAAUGAGUGUGAAAGAUCCACUAUGAGCCUGAGCAGAUCACAACAAAACAUGAUCAAACCUCAUUAAAGAGGAAAAAGACCAAAAAUGGUAUUCCAUGUAGAUUACAUCACAGGAGAUUCACAAAGGACAUAACUAAGCAUAAUCUUCUCAAACUGACAGAGGACAAUAUUCCACAACACCUUUACCAGGAUACAAUAACCCCACUAGACAAAACAUACACUGAAUUUAUAGGAGGUGGCCAGCACCAUGAAACAAAACAAGGGGAAAACAAAACAAUACACAUUUUCACAACAACAAAUUUGGAAUGAACAACACAUUUAGCUAAAUUUAGAGCCAUGGAUAAAUUUUAGUUAAUGAAAAAGAAUUCUAUUAGACAAAAAUCACAUUGAUCACUACAUCACAUUUCCCUAUGCCCCCUCUUAUACAUCACAGUUGCUAUAGUCUAAUUUCCUUUAGAAUUCACAUAAAACAGAACAACUUCCCGUUUGAAUCUCUUUGUCACUAGGCUGGUCCAUUCCCACAACACAACAGGUAUUAAACAUUUCAAGUCAUUCCAAGAAUGAACUUUAACAAAUUGCUAUGUUUGUAUAAAAUUACAUUUUAGCCAAAGAAGAAUUUUAACUGGUUUUAAUGUUUUAACCUUAAGCCAAAUAACUAAGCCCGUGCACUGACUCAGUACAAUGACAAAUAAAGAUCUUAAACCAAACCAAUAUAGUAAUGUCCUAUUACUUGAUCAACUGCAAAGAUGUAUAUAAGAAUUGUGUGGUUUAAAUCCAGGCCAUCACAAUGAGCGCAAAAGAGCCCAUGUUACAUCUUUCUUUAU